Molecule: long non-coding RNA, 725 nt
Filed under: Sus scrofa (pig)
Lineage: Eukaryota; Metazoa; Chordata; Mammalia; Artiodactyla; Suidae
Description: lncRNA (ENSSSCG00005032530.1)
Source: RNAcentral
AUGAAACCCCAUCCUUACCUGGGCUUUGGGAACCGGAUAAAGUGCCUGCAUGUUGUCCCUGGAAGGUGGUACAGAGGUGACAUUUUGUUAUUGUCCUGCACCCAUGAGUCUCAUGCAGAUACACUCUGCCCUGGAAGUGAAUCCACUCCUACGCUGGACAUCCCCAGGCUCAUUCUUCUAAUCAUCAGCCACGAGAGACACUGUGUCAAGAGAGACUUUAGGAUUUGCUUUAUCUAUCCAUUCCCUUAGCUCUUCUGUAGGAAUAUAUAUAUAUAUAUACACUGACUCCCUUAUCAAUAAAGCUCAUUUUAAAAUAUCUCUUUUUAUUUAUUUCUGUGGCUGCCCCCUGAGACCAGGGACGUUGUCUGGCCACAGUUUGAUCUCCCAAUGCAGCUCUUACCACAGCCACAGAAGGGACAAGGAGAGACUCUUAAACCAACCAGCCAUGAGGGAACUCCCAGAGAGCUUGCCUGAUGAGAACAAUCCACCCUGCUUAGUACAUCAGACCUGGUUUGGGUCAGGUCUCCAUUCGCUGGCGACUAACUGAAAAGUGAGACUCAUUUCGAAAGGCAAGAAUGAAAAUUCCCUAAGCCUCUUUUGCGAUAAUAGCACAAGGAUUAGCCAAACUGUCCAAACUUAUGCCACUGAGUCCCCCAUUUAUUCAUCAGCACCACCCUCUUUCUCCACCUGCAUAAAUGCCCUCUGGUCAGGAACUUGAAAAUGGC